This is a long non-coding RNA of Salvia miltiorrhiza (redroot sage), 854 nucleotides long. RefSeq lists it as uncharacterized. The transcript is spliced from 4 exons. The record is from RefSeq and is a predicted model, not a curated record. NCBI's taxonomy places the organism in Eukaryota, Viridiplantae, Streptophyta, Magnoliopsida, Lamiales, Lamiaceae.
UAGUCUCUCUCGAAAUCUUGUUCACCAUAUCCCUCCGUCGUCGAUAAGCUAUUUACAAUCACUGAUUUUUGUGCCCCAUCGCGUUCAUCGAAAACGAAAGAGACCGUAUUCAAAUCGCAUGCUAUAGCUGUUAUAUAUUCCAGAUAUGGCUCAUUUGCGAUGAACUGAAACUAUUGUUCGAGAUGGUGAAGGAGGUUCGUCAAAGCAGUACCUUAAGAACAUACACAGCGCCAACGAAAAUAAUCCCCAGGUUAGCCCAUUUGUUCCCGUAUUGGAGAAGGAAAAUGCAUAUGCUAUUUGUUUUGACACACGUUGGGAAGUAAUGUUCAUACUAGACAGUCCCAAGUCCGUGAAGGAGUGAUAUAAUGAAGGGCUAUGAUCCAAUAUGCGGUGUUUUGUGCACUAUGUUGUCGGAGUUCUUAAAUCACAACAAACAAGAGGUGAAGUCUGCAGCCGCGUCGAAAUCAGCGCUACAGAUUCUCGAUCAUAUGUGUGCAAAUGGAUGCAAUAAAGUUGAUAACUCGCUUUUCUUGAUGCGCCAUAUGGAGACUUUCAAAUGAGACGUAUCAAGGAACUGGCAGUGUGGGCUACUUGAUGCAAAUGAUCGCGAACUAUGCAACAUGAGGAUUAGGUACUGUGAAGCAAUAGUGUCAUCAGAUGUGAAUCAAAUUAAGGAGGACGUUAUGAAAACGGCAUCUAAAAGUUAUGGGGUUGCACUUGCGCAGGAUGACACCAAAUUCGACCUUUUGCUAUUUGGUUCAGUUUAGUUUGAUUGAACUUCGUUUAUAUUCAUGGUAUCAUUCGUAACAGUGUUAUUUGCUCGAAAUUUAAUAAUCUUUUGAACUUUUUAGAAU